UACGUAGGGUGCAAGCGUUGUCCGGAAUUAUUGGGCGUAAAGAGCUCGUAGGCGGUUUGUCGCGUCGAAUGUGAAAACCCGGGGCUCAACUCCGGGCCUGCAUUCGAUACGGGCAGACUAGAGUUCGGUAGGGGAGUCUGGAAUUCCUGGUGUAGCGGUGAAAUGCGCAGAUAUCAGGAGGAACACCGGUGGCGAAGGCGGGACUCUGGGCCGGCACUGACGCUGAGGAGCGAAAGCGUGGGGAGCAAACAGG
This 253-nucleotide ribosomal RNA is filed under the name uncultured bacterium. RNAcentral describes it as "partial 16S ribosomal RNA". It matches the Rfam family "Bacterial small subunit ribosomal RNA", at positions 524 to 776 of the family's 1533-position model. The record is from RNAcentral.